RNAcentral lists this unclassified non-coding RNA (497 nucleotides) under Hevea brasiliensis (rubber tree). The record is from RNAcentral. Lineage: Eukaryota; Viridiplantae; Streptophyta; Magnoliopsida; Malpighiales; Euphorbiaceae.
UGUCUGUGUCAUUUCCACGACAAGGUAUGUCCCAGCAUACUCAACUCGAUUGAAGUACGAGUACGAAACUUGGGAGGUGUUACCUCAUAAUUCCUCCGAUACCAUGGAAGAAGCUGACCCUGUUUGGACAGAGAGUAACUGGGAUAGAAUAAGGCUUCGUGUCUACACAGUCCAGGACAGUGGAUUUGACCUGUUGGUUCUGUUGUUAGGUAUAACUGUCACAGUUUUGUCAUACAUUGUCAUAGUAAUUUCAAAAGCCUUCAUUACAAAGGCCCUAAAACGAGAUUAGCUUAGAAAUUCUUGAUAAAAACUUAUUUUUGGUGCAAUAGCAUUCUGAUUGCUUGUAAACACACAUCCUCGAGAAGGAAAAUGUAAUUCUUUCGCUGUUAUUACUCCUUAAAACGCCAGACGGAAAAUGCUCUGCAGGGCGAAGAAUUGUCAUCGCCGUUGUGAACGAUAUUGAUGUGUAAAAAUUACAAGCUUUGAGAUAUUUGAAG